AGCGAACGCUGGCGGCGUGCUUAACACAUGCAAGUCGAACGUGAACAUGUAGCAAUACAUAAGUAAAGUGGCGUACGGGUGAGUAACACGUGGGUAAUCUACCGAAGAGCCUGGAAUAACCGGCCGAAAGGCUGGCUAAUACUGGAUAGUUCAAGGGCAUUAUAAUGAUGCCAUCGGGAAAGGGAGCGGGUAACCGCCUUCACUUUUUGAUGAGCCCGCGUCUGAUUAGCUAGUUGGUGAGGUAAUGGCUCACCAAGGCAGAGAUCAGUAGCUGGUCUGAGAGGAUGAUCAGCCACACUGGAACUGAAACACGGUCCAGACUCCUACGGGAGGCAGCAGUGGGGAAUCUUGCGCAAUGGACGAAAGUCUGACGCAGCCACGCCGCGUGAGUGAAGAAGG
RNAcentral lists this ribosomal RNA (399 nucleotides) under uncultured bacterium. RNAcentral describes it as "bacterial SSU rRNA". It matches the Rfam family "Bacterial small subunit ribosomal RNA", at positions 29 to 414 of the family's 1533-position model. The record is from RNAcentral.